This 464-nucleotide ribosomal RNA is filed under the name uncultured bacterium. Its description in RNAcentral is "partial 16S ribosomal RNA". It matches the Rfam family "Bacterial small subunit ribosomal RNA", at positions 339 to 795 of the family's 1533-position model. The record is from RNAcentral.
CUACGGGAUGCUGCAGUGGGGAAUAUUGCACAAUGAGCGAAAGCUUGAUGCAGCCAUACCGCGUGUGUGAAGAAGGCCCGAGGGUUGUAAAGCACUUUCAAUUGUGAGGAAGGUUCAGUAGUUAAUACCUGCUGUUCUUGACGUUAACUUUAGAAGAAGCACCGGCCAACUCUGUGCCAGCAGCCGCGGUAAUACAGAGGGUGCAAGCGUUAUUCGGAAUUACUGGGCGUAAAGCGCGCGUAGGCGGAUUGUUAAGUCAGUUGUGAAAGCCCUGGGCUCAACCUGGGAACUGCAUCUGAUACUGGCAAUCUAGAGUUUAAGAGAGGGAAGUGGAAUUCCAGGUGUAGCAGUGAAAUGCGUAGAUAUCUGGAGGAACAUCAGUGGCGAAGGCGACUUCCUGGCUUAAAACUGACGCUGAGGUGCGAAAGCGUGGGUAGCGAACGGGAUUAGAUACCCGGGUAGUC